CCUACGGGAGGCAGCAGUGAGGGAUAUUGCACAAUGGGGGGAACCCUGAUGCAGCGACGCCGCGUGGGUGAAGGAGUGCUUCGGCAUGUAAAGCCCUAUCGGCAGGGAAGAAGCAAGACGGUACCUGACCAAGAAGCCCCGGCUAACUACGUGCCAGCAGCCGCGGUAAUACGUAGGGGGCGAGCGUUAUCCGGAUUCACUGGGUGUAAAGGGAGCGUAGACGGCUAUGUAAGCCAGGGGUGAAAGCCCGGGGCCCAACCCCGGGACUGCCCUUGGAACUGGGCGGCUAGAGUGCAGGAGGGGCAUGCGGAAUUCCUGGUGUAGCGGUGAAAUGCGUAGAUAUCAGGAGGAACACCGGUGGCGAAGGCGGCUUGCUGGACUGCCACUGACGUUGAGGCUCGAAAGCGUGGGGAGCAAACAGGAUUAGAUACCCUUGUAGUC
This 441-nucleotide ribosomal RNA is filed under the name uncultured bacterium. RNAcentral describes it as "partial 16S ribosomal RNA". It matches the Rfam family "Bacterial small subunit ribosomal RNA", at positions 338 to 795 of the family's 1533-position model. The record is from RNAcentral.